AUAAAUAUUAUAUCAUUAUUAUUUGUAAUCAGUUUUUUAUUUAUGAUUUCCAAUUGGGUAAUAUCCCAUCAUACUACUAGGCAUUGGCCAGGUACUGGACUUUGGCUGGUUGUCAAUAUAAGCUUUGUGUUCUCCUUUGUUUUUACCUCAUUUAUAAAGUCCGUGAUUGAGCAUGCAUUUGAUUUCUAUGCCAACAUAGAUCUUAUUGCUCAUCAAAGGUAUCUAAAAGUUGUGUGCUCUGCAACAGAUAGGUUGUGUUAGUCAAUAGAAAUACCUAAUAUGUCAGUUUUGUUGCCAAAUAUUUUAAACACACAUAUAUAUACAGAGUUAUAGAACAGAAGAUGAUCUGGUGGUUACCUUUCUGUUAUUUACUCGAAUGACUGUACGUAUAUCUUACCUUCAGACUUUAUCCGCUCUUGGUUAGUUUUCCAUCUCCAAUCAGAUUAAUGGUUUGCAUGCAGACCAAGCCCAGUGUUUUAUGGUGUUCUUAUUCCUGAUUUAGUUGUACAUUUGACUUUUAGUUUGUUCAUAGAUAAUAAAGUAGUGGCAGAUGAACCAGUAAGUUAUCUGUGCCCAUGCUUUGCUGUAAGCAUUAAAUUUUCUCUCUGCUUUUGCUUUCGAUGUGUUAUCCGUACCCCUACUUUUUGUGGCUAAUUAUUAUGUCCUAUCAACAUAUGUAGAGUCCAUGGUAUCAUACGAUUUGAAGUUGAAAAAUUCAUGCUAUGGGUGAUAUGGAAAAGUCAUUGCCUUCUUUGCUGGAACAUUUCCUAAGAUGAUCUAAGGAAAUUAUUUUAGUCACCAUGUCAUUUAUAUGCUAAAUUCAGUGCGUUGACAACUGGAGAUCGCUUCCUUUUUUGUGUAUUGAUCAUUUCAGUACGAUUGUUUGAUACACUGCCGACAUCAUUUUUCUUCUUCUUGCUUGUUAUUUCAUUUAUUUCCUCCGGCAAGUGGAUGGCUAUUUCCACUGCUUCAGGUUUUGUUUUGGCUCUAAUUGUGUGUAUGGCAUCUUGGCCUUCUUAGGUGAAGCAGCUAUGAAUAUCCUCGCUGAUCUAUGGAUCUAUCAUUGUAAGAGUCGAUGAUAUAUGGUGAGAUGCCUCACACCAUCAUUUGGUCUUUGUAGCAUUUGAGUUGGCAAAUUUGUUGGAUUCAUGCGAUUAGGCAUGCCAUGUAAAUCAAUCUGCUAUGGGAAAUGGGAGUUUGCAAACUACCGGAGUCUAAUUGCUGAGGGACGAGGUUCGUAACUGAGGGUCAUGUGCAGAGCUGGAAGAAGAAGUUGCGAGGCUUGGAACUCUCCUUGUGAAGGGCUCAGGGACAGCAGUGAGGACAAUGCCUCUUUAGUUGUAAUUGUGAUACUCCUGAUGUGCAAGUAAUCACUCAUGUGAUACUCCUUAUGCUAAAAUGUUGGUUGUUAGUACAGAGGUGGUGACAUUAUUUGGUUCUCUGGUAUUGAUUUCAUGAUUUGUGGUUAAUACAUGAUGUAAUACAAUCCACAUUGCAUUAUAUUUCCAGUUACAUCUCCUACUUACUCA
This is a non-coding RNA of Triticum urartu, 1529 nucleotides long. The record is from RefSeq and is a predicted model, not a curated record. NCBI's taxonomy places the organism in Eukaryota, Viridiplantae, Streptophyta, Magnoliopsida, Poales, Poaceae.